GAUAAGUUGUUAGAAGAGAAAAUAUAUUCAAAUCUCAAAGAUGUGGGAGAAGGUUUAGGAAGAAUAAAGAAAUUAUAUGAUUUAAUGCAGAUGUAAGUAGUUGAGAUGGAUUAAGUUAGAGAAUUGGAGGGAAAUUAGUUAGAUGAGAGUUGCUGGACUACUUGAGGUUAAGGGAUGGCAAUUGGCGGGAACAGUUAAUUAGAGGGGGUGGAGUAUAAAUAACAGAAUUGUAA
RNAcentral lists this unclassified non-coding RNA (233 nucleotides) under Hevea brasiliensis (rubber tree). The record is from RNAcentral. Lineage: Eukaryota; Viridiplantae; Streptophyta; Magnoliopsida; Malpighiales; Euphorbiaceae.